Molecule: ribosomal RNA, 236 nt
Filed under: uncultured bacterium
Lineage: Bacteria
Description: partial 16S ribosomal RNA
Rfam family: Bacterial small subunit ribosomal RNA
Source: RNAcentral
CAACGUAGGUAAUCUACCUUCGGAUGGGGAAUAACAAUCGGAAACGUUUGCUAAUACCGCAUAAUGCAGCGGCACCUAAUGGUGACAGUUGUUAAAGCGGGGGAUCGAAAGACCUCGCGUCUGAAGAGGAGCCUGCGGCGGAUUAGCUUGUUGGUAAGGUAACGGCUUACCAAGGCGACGAUCCGUAGCCGGCCUGAGAGGGCGGUCGGUCACACUGACACUGACAUACGGGUCAG